UACGGGGGGUGCGAGCGUUGUCCGGAAUCACUGGGCGUAAAGGGCUCGUAGGCGGUUUGUCGCGUCGGGAGUGAAAACACACAGCUUAACUGUGUGCUGGCUUCCGAUACGGGCAGACUAGAGGUAUGCAGGGGAGAACGGAAUUCCUGGUGUAGCGGUGAAAUGCGCAGAUAUCAGGAGGAACACCGGUGGCGAAGGCGGUUCUCUGGGCAUUACCUGACGCUGAGGAGCGAAAGUGUGGGGAGCGAACAGG
This 253-nucleotide ribosomal RNA is filed under the name uncultured bacterium. RNAcentral describes it as "partial 16S ribosomal RNA". It matches the Rfam family "Bacterial small subunit ribosomal RNA", at positions 524 to 776 of the family's 1533-position model. The record is from RNAcentral.